CUGAGAGGUGUGAUUUCACAGGCUGGCUCCCCCCUGUCAGGGCCCUGAUUGGGCCGGACAGGAGGCGCAGGAGAGGCCCUGGCUUCUAAAAGACACCAACAGGUGGGAGGCCGCUUUGGAGGGGGGCGCUCCUGGCGGGAUAGAAAAGGCCGAUCUGCAAGGCCUGUUGUGGGCACAAUCCACCGGCCAGAUACGGAGGAGGAUGGUUGAUCGCAGGAUAGCUGAGCUGAACAGAGGAGAGGGGCAGCAUUAAGUUGGGAAAUGGUUCCCAGGAAGCUAAGGGUUAGUUGGAGAUGAGUUUUGGCUUUUAAUGGGUGGAAAGGGACAGCUUCAGUGACAAGGAGUAAGACUGGUCUGAGAGUUAAGUCUUUUAUGUGGUGUUUUUGGUCUUAGUGCCCCUUUUUAAAUCUUCUCGUUUUGACAAACAGCUUUUUAUAGGUAUCUUUUCUUCUUUGGAAAUGGUUAACAUUUGACCUCUACAAGCAGGCUUUAUAGAGACAAGCUUGUCUGUCGAUUUAAAAAAGUCUUCCAGAUUCAGAGGUUGCAGACUUCUGGUCCUUUGCUGAUCACCAUGUGUGUGAGUAAAAUCGGCCAUCAAUCCAGGUGUUAAAAGUUUUCUGUAAGCUUUACGACAGAUGCGGCACACUGUGGCAGAGCCUGACACCUCUGUCAGGUGAGGCGGGGGAGCUGAGGUGCGACACAGGAAAGAACCAGGACAUUCUCACAGGAGCAAUCACAGUCUAAUCAAAGCAGAACUGCAAGUCUUUCUAACGGCCAUUUGGUUCAGAGCUGCUUGAUGUGGCAGCGGUUAGAUAUAUCAAGGAAGUCACCAGUAGGCAGUGUAGGAGAUGCUGCCUGAACCCAAAGUGGCCUCAAGCUCAACUCCAGCUACUCACCACAAGAAAACCUCAGGAGGAGAUGCGGCAGAAUUCAGUAAAGCUGAAGCAACACGCCUUGCUGUGGCUGGUCAAACGGAACCAAGUCAGGUGUUUCUGUGAGGUUUGGUCCCCUUCAACCAGCUACUGCGUCGUGAAUUCAGUCAGCAGACACCAGCGUGGAAUCAAAGACACAGUGGCGUUGUAGCGUACGCUGCAUCCUUUAGAGGUGGUAGUCUGUUGACAGUGAUUAUUAUUAUUUCUUUCCCUUAGUGGUUUUGCUGUUUCCUGUAUUGCAAUGGAUGUUAAUAAAAAAUCAAUGACAACAUGCA
Molecule: long non-coding RNA, 1207 nt
Organism: Scatophagus argus
Lineage: Eukaryota; Metazoa; Chordata; Actinopteri; Scatophagidae
Exons: 2
Source: RefSeq, a predicted model, not a curated record